AAAAAAAUGUGUUAUUCACUAUGACUAUAGUAGCUCACAAAUCACAGAGCAUUAGGUGACAAUGUUCACAUGGCUGAAUAAUACAUAAUUGUCUUCAGUUUUCUGUUCACCACUUUUCUUUUCUUUUUCUUUUUUGGUGUCUAUGUAAUUCCGCUCCUGUAUUAUUUUGAUGCCACUCUAUUAAUAUUUCCUUACCCACCUUCAUUUACCAUUUACAUAUGUUUAACCCUGCCCUUUUCAUCCUUUUUCAUUGCACACAGUUUUCUUUAUUAUGCCUCUUCCGCUAUUGCAUAUUUUUCUAUUUCAGUCACCGUGCUAGUUUU
This is a non-coding RNA of Pelobates cultripes (western spadefoot toad), 323 nucleotides long. NCBI's taxonomy places the organism in Eukaryota, Metazoa, Chordata, Amphibia, Anura, Pelobatidae. The record is from the annotation of a GenBank genome assembly.